GGAUGAAUAGCUCAACGGCAGAGCAGCGCUUUGUUAAAGCGUUGGUUGAAAGUUCAAAUCUUUCUUUAUCCG
Molecule: transfer RNA, 72 nt
Filed under: Arachidicoccus ginsenosidimutans
Lineage: Bacteria; Pseudomonadati; Bacteroidota; Chitinophagia; Chitinophagales; Chitinophagaceae
Description: Arachidicoccus sp. BS20 tRNA
Rfam family: tRNA
About the family: Transfer RNA (tRNA) molecules are approximately 80 nucleotides in length. Their secondary structure includes four short double-helical elements and three loops (D, anti-codon, and T loops). Further hydrogen bonds mediate the characteristic L-shaped molecular structure. tRNAs have two regions of fundamental functional importance: the anti-codon, which is responsible for specific mRNA codon recognition, and the 3' end, to which the tRNAs corresponding amino acid is attached (by aminoacyl-tRNA synthetases). tRNAs cope with the degeneracy of the genetic code in two manners: having more than one tRNA (with a specific anti-codon) for a particular amino acid; and 'wobble' base-pairing, i.e. permitting non-standard base-pairing at the 3rd anti-codon position.
Source: Rfam by way of RNAcentral